AAUGAACGCUGGCGGCAGGCCUAACACAUGCAAGUCGAACGGAUCCUUCGGGAUUAGUGGCGGACGGGUGAGUAACGCGUGGGAACAUACCCAAAGGUACGGAAUAGCCUCGGGAAACUGGGAGUAUACCGUAUGUGGUCGAGAGACGAAAGAUUUAUCGCCAAAGGAUUGGCCCGCGUUGGAUUAGGUAGUUGGUGGGGUAAUGGCCUACCAAGCCGACGAUCCAUAGCUGGUUUGAGAGGAUGAUCAACCACACUGGGACUGAGACACGGCCCAGACUCCUACGGGAGGCAGCAGUGGGGAAUCUUAGACAAUGGGGGAAACCCUGAUCUAGCCAUGCCGCGUGAUCGAUGAAGGCCUUAGGGUUGUAAAGAUCUUUCAGGUGGGAAGAUAAUGACUGUACCACCAGAAGAAGCCCCGGCUAACUCCGUGCCAGCCGCCGCCGUAA
Molecule: ribosomal RNA, 448 nt
Filed under: uncultured bacterium
Lineage: Bacteria
Description: partial 16S ribosomal RNA
Rfam family: Bacterial small subunit ribosomal RNA
Source: RNAcentral